This 2953-nucleotide ribosomal RNA is filed under the name Staphylococcus aureus subsp. aureus CN1. Its description in RNAcentral is "bacterial LSU rRNA". It matches the Rfam family "Bacterial large subunit ribosomal RNA". The record is from RNAcentral. Lineage: Bacteria; Bacillati; Bacillota; Bacilli; Caryophanales; Staphylococcaceae.
CGUUUGACUUAUAAAAAUGGUGGAAACAUAGAUUAAGUUAUUAAGGGCGCACGGUGGAUGCCUUGGCACUAGAAGCCGAUGAAGGACGUUACUAACGACGAUAUGCUUUGGGGAGCUGUAAGUAAGCUUUGAUCCAGAGAUUUCCGAAUGGGGAAACCCAGCAUGAGUUAUGUCAUGUUAUCGAUAUGUGAAUACAUAGCAUAUCAGAAGGCACACCCGGAGAACUGAAACAUCUUAGUACCCGGAGGAAGAGAAAGAAAAUUCGAUUCCCUUAGUAGCGGCGAGCGAAACGGGAAGAGCCCAAACCAACAAGCUUGCUUGUUGGGGUUGUAGGACACUCUAUACGGAGUUACAAAGGACGACAUUAGACGAAUCAUAUGGAAAGAUGAAUCAAAGAAGGUAAUAAUCCUGUAGUCGAAAAUGUUGUCUCUCUUGAGUGGAUCCUGAGUACGACGGAGCACGUGAAAUUCCGUCGGAAUCUGGGAGGACCAUCUCCUAAGGCUAAAUACUCUCUAGUGACCGAUAGUGAACCAGUACCGUGAGGGAAAGGUGAAAAGCACCCCGGAAGGGGAGUGAAAUAGAACCUGAAACCGUGUGCUUACAAGUAGUCAGAGCCCGUUAAUGGGUGAUGGCGUGCCUUUUGUAGAAUGAACCGGCGAGUUACGAUUUGAUGCAAGGUUAAGCAGUAAAUGUGGAGCCGUAGCGAAAGCGAGUCUGAAUAGGGCGUUUAGUAUUUGGUCGUAGACCCGAAACCAGGUGAUCUACCCUUGGUCAGGUUGAAGUUCAGGUAACACUGAAUGGAGGACCGAACCGACUUACGUUGAAAAGUGAGCGGAUGAACUGAGGGUAGCGGAGAAAUUCCAAUCGAACCUGGAGAUAGCUGGUUCUCUCCGAAAUAGCUUUAGGGCUAGCCUCAAGUGAUGAUUAUUGGAGGUAGAGCACUGUUUGGACGAGGGGCCCCUCUCGGGUUACCGAAUUCAGACAAACUCCGAAUGCCAAUUAAUUUAACUUGGGAGUCAGAACAUGGGUGAUAAGGUCCGUGUUCGAAAGGGAAACAGCCCAGACCACCAGCUAAGGUCCCAAAAUAUAUGUUAAGUGGAAAAGGAUGUGGCGUUGCCCAGACAACUAGGAUGUUGGCUUAGAAGCAGCCAUCAUUUAAAGAGUGCGUAAUAGCUCACUAGUCGAGUGACACUGCGCCGAAAAUGUACCGGGGCUAAACAUAUUACCGAAGCUGUGGAUUGUCCUUUGGACAAUGGUAGGAGAGCGUUCUAAGGGCGUUGAAGCAUGAUCGUAAGGACAUGUGGAGCGCUUAGAAGUGAGAAUGCCGGUGUGAGUAGCGAAAGACGGGUGAGAAUCCCGUCCACCGAUUGACUAAGGUUUCCAGAGGAAGGCUCGUCCGCUCUGGGUUAGUCGGGUCCUAAGCUGAGGCCGACAGGCGUAGGCGAUGGAUAACAGGUUGAUAUUCCUGUACCACCUAUAAUCGUUUUAAUCGAUGGGGGGACGCAGUAGGAUAGGCGAAGCGUGCGAUUGGAUUGCACGUCUAAGCAGUAAGGCUGAGUAUUAGGCAAAUCCGGUACUCGUUAAGGCUGAGCUGUGAUGGGGAGAAGACAUUGUGUCUUCGAGUCGUUGAUUUCACACUGCCGAGAAAAGCCUCUAGAUAGAAAAUAGGUGCCCGUACCGCAAACCGACACAGGUAGUCAAGAUGAGAAUUCUAAGGUGAGCGAGCGAACUCUCGUUAAGGAACUCGGCAAAAUGACCCCGUAACUUCGGGAGAAGGGGUGCUCUUUAGGGUUAACGCCCAGAAGAGCCGCAGUGAAUAGGCCCAAGCGACUGUUUAUCAAAAACACAGGUCUCUGCUAAACCGUAAGGUGAUGUAUAGGGGCUGACGCCUGCCCGGUGCUGGAAGGUUAAGAGGAGUGGUUAGCUUCUGCGAAGCUACGAAUCGAAGCCCCAGUAAACGGCGGCCGUAACUAUAACGGUCCUAAGGUAGCGAAAUUCCUUGUCGGGUAAGUUCCGACCCGCACGAAAGGCGUAACGAUUUGGGCACUGUCUCAACGAGAGACUCGGUGAAAUCAUAGUACCUGUGAAGAUGCAGGUUACCCGCGACAGGACGGAAAGACCCCGUGGAGCUUUACUGUAGCCUGAUAUUGAAAUUCGGCACAGCUUGUACAGGAUAGGUAGGAGCCUUUGAAACGUGAGCGCUAGCUUACGUGGAGGCGCUGGUGGGAUACUACCCUAGCUGUGUUGGCUUUCUAACCCGCACCACUUAUCGUGGUGGGAGACAGUGUCAGGCGGGCAGUUUGACUGGGGCGGUCGCCUCCUAAAAGGUAACGGAGGCGCUCAAAGGUUCCCUCAGAAUGGUUGGAAAUCAUUCAUAGAGUGUAAAGGCAUAAGGGAGCUUGACUGCGAGACCUACAAGUCGAGCAGGGUCGAAAGACGGACUUAGUGAUCCGGUGGUUCCGCAUGGAAGGGCCAUCGCUCAACGGAUAAAAGCUACCCCGGGGAUAACAGGCUUAUCUCCCCCAAGAGUUCACAUCGACGGGGAGGUUUGGCACCUCGAUGUCGGCUCAUCGCAUCCUGGGGCUGUAGUCGGUCCCAAGGGUUGGGCUGUUCGCCCAUUAAAGCGGUACGCGAGCUGGGUUCAGAACGUCGUGAGACAGUUCGGUCCCUAUCCGUCGUGGGCGUAGGAAAUUUGAGAGGAGCUGUCCUUAGUACGAGAGGACCGGGAUGGACAUACCUCUGGUGUACCAGUUGUCGUGCCAACGGCAUAGCUGGGUAGCUAUGUGUGGACGGGAUAAGUGCUGAAAGCAUCUAAGCAUGAAGCCCCCCUCAAGAUGAGAUUUCCCAACUUCGGUUAUAAGAUCCCUCAAAGAUGAUGAGGUUAAUAGGUUCGAGGUGGAAGCAUGGUGACAUGUGGAGCUGACGAAUACUAAUCGAUCGAAGACUUAAUCAA